This 1472-nucleotide ribosomal RNA is filed under the name uncultured organism. Its description in RNAcentral is "SSU rRNA". It matches the Rfam family "Bacterial small subunit ribosomal RNA". The record is from RNAcentral.
CUGUCGGCGUGCCUAAUACAUGCAAGUCGAACGCUUCUUUCCUCCCGAGUGCUUGCACUCAAUUGGAAAGAGGAGUGGCGGACGGGUGAGUAACACGUGGGUAACCUACCCAUCAGAGGGGGAUAACACUUGGAAACAGGUGCUAAUACCGCAUAGCAGUUUAUGCCGCAUGGCAUAAGAGUGAAAGGCGCUUUCGGGUGUCGCUGAUGGAUGGACCCGCGGUGCAUUAGCUAGUUGGUGAGGUAACGGCUCACCAAGGCCACGAUGCAUAGCCGACCUGAGAGGGUGAUCGGCCACACUGGGACUGAGACACGGCCCAGACUCCUACGGGAGGCAGCAGUAGGGAAUCUUCGGCAAUGGACGAAAGUCUGACCGAGCAACGCCGCGUGAGUGAAGAAGGUUUUCGGAUCGUAAAACUCUGUUGUUAGAGAAGAACAAGGACGUUAGUAACUGAACGUCCCCUGACGGUAUCUAACCAGAAAGCCACGGCUAACUACGUGCCAGCAGCCGCGGUAAUACGUAGGUGGCAAGCGUUGUCCGGAUUUAUUGGGCGUAAAGCGAGCGCAGGCGGUUUCUUAAGUCUGAUGUGAAAGCCCCCGGCUCAACCGGGGAGGGUCAUUGGAAACUGGGAGACUUGAGUGCAGAAGAGGAGAGUGGAAUUCCAUGUGUAGCGGUGAAAUGCGUAGAUAUAUGGAGGAACACCAGUGGCGAAGGCGGCUCUCUGGUCUGUAACUGACGCUGAGGCUCGAAAGCGUGGGGAGCAAACAGGAUUAAAUACCCUGGUAGUCCACGCGGUAAACGAUGAGUGCUAAGUGUUGGAGGAUUUCCGCCCUUCAGUGCUGCAGCAAACGCAUUAAGCACUCCGCCUGGGGAGUACGACCGCAAGGUUGAAACUCAAAGGAAUUGACGGGGGCCCGCACAAGCGGUGGAGCAUGUGGUUUAAUUCGAAGCAACGCGAAGAACCUUACCAGGUCUUGACAUCCUUUGACCACUCUAGAGAUAGAGCUUUCCCUUCGGGGACAAAGUGACAGGUGGUGCAUGGUUGUCGUCAGCUCGUGUCGUGAGAUGUUGGGUUAAGUCCCGCAACGAGCGCAACCCUUAUUGUUAGUUGCCAUCAUUUAGUUGGGCACUCUAGCGAGACUGCCGGUGACAAACCGGAGGAAGGUGGGGAUGACGUCAAAUCAUCAUGCCCCUUAUGACCUGGGCUACACACGUGCUACAAUGGGAAGUACAACGAGUCGCUAGACCGCGAGGUCAUGCAAAUCUCUUAAAGCUUCUCUCAGUUCGGAUUGCAGGCUGCAACUCGCCUGCAUGAAGCCGGAAUCGCUAGUAAUCGCGGAUCAGCACGCCGCGGUGAAUACGUUCCCGGGCCUUGUACACACCGCCCGUCACACCACGAGAGUUUGUAACACCCGAAGUCGGUGAGGUAACCUUUUUGGAGCCAGCCGCCUAAGGUGGGAUAGAUGAUUGGG